AUUGAACGCUGGCGGCAGGCCUAACACAUGCAAGUCGAACGGUAACAGGAAGCAGCUUGCUGCUUCGCUGACGAGUGGCGGACGGGUGAGUAAUGUCUGGGAAGCUGCCUGAUGGAGGGGGAUAACUACUGGAAACGGUAGCUAAUACCGCAUAAUGUCGCAAGACCAAAGAGGGGGACCUUCGGGCCUCUUGCCAUCUGAUGUGCCCAGAUGGGAUUAGCUUGUUGGUGGGGUAACGGCUCACCAAGGCGACGAUCCCUAGCUGGUCUGAGAGGAUGACCAGCGACACUGGAACUGAGACACGGUCCAGACUCCUACGGGAGGCAGCAGUGGGGAAUAUUGCACAAUGGGCGCAAGCCUGAUGCAGCCAUGCCGCGUGUAUGAAGAAGGCCUUCGGGUUGUAAAGUACUUUCAGCGGGGAGGAAGGGAGUAAAGUUAAUACCUUUGCUCAUUGACGUUACCCGCAGAAGAAGCACCGGCUAACUCCGUG
This 490-nucleotide ribosomal RNA is filed under the name uncultured bacterium. RNAcentral describes it as "partial 16S ribosomal RNA". It matches the Rfam family "Bacterial small subunit ribosomal RNA", at positions 30 to 507 of the family's 1533-position model. The record is from RNAcentral.